AGCUUAGUUUAGGGUUUAAAACCCUAAUACUGGCUGAAAGGAAAAGUUCAGUCUAGGGUUUAAAACCCUAAUGCUGACUAAAAGGAAAAUUCAGUUUAGGGUUUAAAACUCUAAUGUUGAUUGCAUGGAAAAGCUCAGUUUAGGGUUUAAAACCCUAAUGCUGGCUGAAUGGAAAAAGUUCAGUUUAGGGUUUAAAACCCUAAUGCUGACUAAAAGGGAAAUUCAGUUUAGGGUUUAAAACCCUAAUGCUGAUUGCAUGGAAAAGCUCAGUUUAGGGUUUAAAACCCUAAUGCUGGCUGAAAGGAAAAAGUUCAGUUUAGGGUUUAAAACCCUAAUGCUGACUAAAAGGAAAAUUCAGUUUAGGGUUUAAAACCCUAAUGCUGAUAGCAUGGAAAAGCUCAGUUUAGGGUUUAAAACCCUAAUGCUGAUAGCAUGGAAAAGCUCAGUUUAGGGUUUAAAACCCUAGUGCUGGCUGAAUGAAAAAAGUUCAGUUUAGGGUUUAAAACCCUAAUGCUGAUAGCAUAGAAAAGUUCAGUUUAGGGUUUAAAACCCUAAUGCUGAUAGCAUGGAAAAGCUCAGUUUAGGGUUUAAAACCAUAGUGCUGGCUGAAUGAAAAAAGUUCAGUUUAGGGUUUAAAACCCUAAUGCUGACUAAAAGGAAAAUUCAGUUUAGGGUUUAAAACCCUAAUGCUGAUAGCAUGGAAAAGCUCAGUUUAGGGGUUUAAAACCCUAAUGCUGGCUGAAAGGAAAAAGUUCAGUUUAGGGUUUAAAACCCUAAUGCUGACUAAAAGGAAAGUUCAGUUUAGGGUUUAAAACCCUAAUGCUGAUUGCAUGGAAAAGCUCAGUUUAGAGUUUAAAACCCUAGUGCUGGCUGAAUGAAAAAAGUUCAGUUUAGGGUUUAAAACCCUAAUGCUGACUAAAAGGAAAGUUCAGUUUAGGGUUUAAAACCCUAAUGCUGAUUGCAUGGAAAAGCUCAGUUUAAGGUUUAAAACCCUAGUGCUGGCUGAAUGAAAAAAGUUCAGUUUAGGGUUUAAAACCCUAAUGCUGACUAAAAGGAAAAUUCAGUUUAGGGUUUAAAACCCUAAUGCUGAUUGCAUGGAAAAGCUCAGUUUAGGGUUUAAAACCCUAAUGCUGGCUGAAAGGAAAAAGUUCAGUUUAGGGUUUAAAACCCUAAUGCUGACUAAAAGGAAAGUUCAGUUUAGGGUUUAAAACCCUAAUGCUGAUUGCAUGGAAAAGCUCAGUUUAGGGUUUAAAACCCUAACGCUGGCUGAAAGAAAAAAGUUCAGUUUAGGGUUUAAAACCCUAAUGCUGAAUUAAAGGAAAAUUCACUUUAGGGUUUGAAACCCUAAUGCUGAUAGCAUGGAAAAGCUCAGUUUAGGGUUUAAAACCCUAAUGCUGAUAGCAUGGAAAAGCUCAGUUUAGGGUUUAAAACCCUAAUAUUGGCUGAAAGGAAAAAGUUCAGUCUAGGGUUUAAAACCCUAAUGCUGACUAAAAGGAAAAUUCAGUUUAGGGUUUAAAACUCUAAUGUUGAUUGCAUGGAAAAGCUCAGUUUAGGGUUUAAAACCCUAAUGCUGGUUGAAUGGAAAAAGUUCAGUUUAGGGUUUAAAACCCUAAUGCUGACUAAAAGGGAAAGUUCAGUUUAGGGUUUAAAACCCUAAUGCUGACUAAAAGGAAAAUUCAGUUUAGGGUUUAAAACCCUAAUGCUGAUUGCAUGGAAAAGCUCAGUUUAGGGUUUAAAACCCUAGUGCUGGCUGAAUGAAAAAAGUUCAGUUUAGGGUUUAAAACCCUAAUGCUGACUAAAAGGAAAAUUCAGUUUAGGGUUUAAAACCCUAAUGCUGAUUGCAUGGAAAAGCUCAGUUUAGGGUUUAAAACCCUAAUGCUGAUAGCAUGGAAAAGCUCAGUUUAGGGUUUAAAACCCUAAUGCUGGCUGAAUGGAAAAAGUUCAGUUUAGGGUUUAAAACCCUAAUGCUGACUAAAAGGAAAAUUCAGUUUAGGGUUUAAAACCCUAAUGCUGAUUGCAUGGAAAAGCUCAGUUUAGGGUUUAAAACCCUAAUGCUGACUAAAAGGAAAAUUCAGUUUAGGGUAUAAAACCCUAAUGCUGAUUGCAUGGAAAAGCUCAGUUUAGAGUUUAAAACCCUAACGCUGGCUGAAAGGAAAAAGUUCAGUUUAGGGUUUAAAACCCUAAUGCUGAAUUAAAGGAAAAUUCAGUUUAGGGUUUGAACCCUAAUGCUGAUUGCAUGGAAAAGCUCAGUUUAGGGUUUAAAACCCUAAUGCUGGCUGAAAGGAAAAAGUUCAGUUUAGGGUUUAAAACCCUAAUGCUGAUGGCUGGGGACAAAAUUCGAGAACAACCACUGAC
Molecule: long non-coding RNA, 2355 nt
Filed under: Nicotiana tabacum (common tobacco)
Lineage: Eukaryota; Viridiplantae; Streptophyta; Magnoliopsida; Solanales; Solanaceae
Description: long non-coding RNA (NTAB_LNC004915)
Source: RNAcentral